UUGAGAGCCCUAAAGACUGAAGUCCUGUUUUUAUUCACAGAAUUAGUAGAGCACAGGUAGCAACAGCACAAGCUUCCCUACAAGCCCUGAAAAUGGGCCUCAGCUCUGACCUGGAAGUUAUCCAUGUCUAGGUCAGUCAGUCCUCAUGCCUAUUCAGUCACAAAACCUGU
Molecule: unclassified non-coding RNA, 170 nt
Organism: Chrysemys picta bellii (western painted turtle)
Lineage: Eukaryota; Metazoa; Chordata; Testudines; Emydidae
Source: Ensembl